This 454-nucleotide ribosomal RNA is filed under the name uncultured bacterium. RNAcentral's name for it is "bacterial SSU rRNA". It matches the Rfam family "Bacterial small subunit ribosomal RNA", at positions 28 to 478 of the family's 1533-position model. The record is from RNAcentral.
GAUGAACGCUGGCGGCGUGCCUAACACAUGCAAGUCGAACGGAGUCGUUUUGGAAAUCUCUUCGGAGAUGGAAUUCUCGACUUAGUGGCGGACGGGUGAGUAACGCGUGAGCAAUCUGCCUUUAAGAGGGGGAUAACAGUCGGAAACGGCUGCUAAUACCGCAUAAAGCAUCAAAUUCGCAUGUUUUUGAUGCCAAAGGAGCAAUCCGCUUUUAGAUGAGCUCGCGUCUGAUUAGCUGGUUGGCGGGGUAACGGCCCACCAAGGCGACGAUCAGUAGCCGGACUGAGAGGUUGAACGGCCACAUUGGGACUGAGACACGGCCCAGACUCCUACGGGAGGCAGCAGUGGGGAAUAUUGCGCAAUGGGGGAAACCCUGACGCAGCAACGCCGCGUGAUUGAAGAAGGCCUUCGGGUUGUAAAGAUCUUUAAUCAGGGACGAAGAAAAUGACGGUAC